This is a transfer RNA of 82 nucleotides. It matches the Rfam family "tRNA". From Rfam's summary of the family: Transfer RNA (tRNA) molecules are approximately 80 nucleotides in length. Their secondary structure includes four short double-helical elements and three loops (D, anti-codon, and T loops).
GCCCGGGUGGCGGAAUUGGUAGACGCGCACGACUCAAAAUCGUGUCUCGAAAGGGGUGGGAGUUCAAUUCUCCCCCCGGGCA